AAAGAAAGCGUAAUAGCUCACUGGUCGAGUCGGCCUGCGCGGAAGAUGUAACGGGGCUAAACCAUGCACCGAAGCUGCGGCAGCGACGCUUAUGCGUUGUUGGGUAGGGGAGCGUUCUGUAAGCCUGUGAAGGUGUGCUGUGAGGCAUGCUGGAGGUAUCAGAAGUGCGAAUGCUGACAUAAGUAACGAUAAAGCGGGUGAAAAGCCCGCUCGCCGGAAGACCAAGGGUUCCUGUCCAACGUUAAUCGGGGCAGGGUGAGUCGACCCCUAAGGCGAGGCCGAAAGGCGUAGUCGAUGGGAAACAGGUUAAUAUUCCUGUACUUGGUGUUACUGCGAAGGGGGGACGGAGAAGGCUAUGUUGGCCGGGCGACGGUUGUCCCGGUUUAAGCGUGUAGGCUGGUUUUCCAGGCAAAUCCGGAAAAUCAAGGCUGAGGCGUGAUGACGAGGCACUACGGUGCUGAAGCAACAAAUGCCCUGCUUCCAGGAAAAGCCUCUAAGCAUCAGGUAACAUCAAAUCGUACCCCAAACCGACACAGGUGGUCAGGUAGAGAAUACCAAGGCGCUUGAGAGAACUCGGGUGAAGGAACUAGGCAAAAUGGUGCCGUAACUUCGGGAGAAGGCACGCUGAUAUGUAGGUGAAGUCCCUCGCGGAUGGAGCUGAAAUCAGUCGAAGAUACCAGCUGGCUGCAACUGUUUAUUAAAAACACAGCACUGUGCAAACACGAAAGUGGACGUAUACGGUGUGACGCCUGCCCGGUGCCGGAAGGUUAAUUGAUGGGGU
RNAcentral lists this ribosomal RNA (781 nucleotides) under Escherichia coli. Its description in RNAcentral is "partial 23S ribosomal RNA". It matches the Rfam family "Bacterial large subunit ribosomal RNA", at positions 1125 to 1890 of the family's 2925-position model. Lineage: Bacteria; Pseudomonadati; Pseudomonadota; Gammaproteobacteria; Enterobacterales; Enterobacteriaceae. The record is from RNAcentral.